GAUGAACGCUGGCGGCGUGCCUAAUACAUGCAAGUCGAGCGAAUGGAUUAAGAGCUUGCUCUUAUGAAGUUAGCGGCGGACGGGUGAGUAACACGUGGGUAACCUGCCCAUAAGACUGGAUAACUCCGGGAAACCGGGGCUAAUACCGGAUAAUAUUUUGAACUGCAUGGUUCAAAAUUGAAAGGCGGCUUCGGCUGUCACUUAUGGAUGGACCCGCGUCGCAUUAGCUAGUUGGUGAGGUAACGGCUCACCAAGGCAACGAUGCGUAGCCGACCUGAGAGGGUGAUCGGCCACACUGGGACUGAGACACGGCCCAGACUCCUACGGGAGGCAGCAGUAGGGAAUCUUCCGCAAUGGACGAAAGUCUGACGGAGCAACGCCGCGUGAGUGAUGAAGGCUUUCGGGUCGUAAAACUCUGUUGUUAGGGAAGAACAAGUGCUAGUUGAAUAAGCUGGCACCUUGACGGUACCUAACCAGAAAGCCACGGCUAACUACGUGCCAGCAGCCGCCGCGG
This 514-nucleotide ribosomal RNA is filed under the name uncultured bacterium. RNAcentral describes it as "partial 16S ribosomal RNA". It matches the Rfam family "Bacterial small subunit ribosomal RNA", at positions 28 to 523 of the family's 1533-position model. The record is from RNAcentral.